UGUCUGGGGAUCAAUCGAUCAGCAAAAGAACCCUAGCGGGAUAGGAAAUGACAAAUGUUGAAGAAAGAAAGGUUAAUUAGGGUAUUGUCCGUGGUUUUAUAGUGUAAAUUAGGGUUUACAUGGAAAUAAAACCCUUGUAAAACCCCGAGGAAUGGAAAGAAGGUGAGAUUUGAGAGCUCCAAAGAGCAAGGCGUCACUUUU
This 201-nucleotide unclassified non-coding RNA is filed under the name Hevea brasiliensis (rubber tree). Lineage: Eukaryota; Viridiplantae; Streptophyta; Magnoliopsida; Malpighiales; Euphorbiaceae. The record is from RNAcentral.